Molecule: ribosomal RNA, 460 nt
Filed under: uncultured bacterium
Lineage: Bacteria
Description: partial 16S ribosomal RNA
Rfam family: Bacterial small subunit ribosomal RNA
Source: RNAcentral
CCUACGGGGGGCUGCAGUGAGGAAUAUUGGUCAAUGGACGAGAGUCUGAACCAGCCAAGUAGCGUGAAGGAUGACUGCCCUAUGGGUUGUAAACUUCUUUUAUAUGGGAAUAAAAUGUUCCACGUGUGGGAUUUUGUAUGUACCAUAUGAAUAAGGAUCGGCUAACUCCGUGCCAGCAGCCGCGGUAAUACGGAGGAUCCGAGCGUUAUCCGGAUUUAUUGGGUUUAAAGGGAGCGUAGGUGGAUUGUUAAGUCAGUUGUGAAAGUUUGCGGCUCAACCGUAAAAUUGCAGUUGAAACUGGCAGUCUUGAGUACAGUAGAGGUGGGCGGAAUUCGUGGUGUAGCGGUGAAAUGCUUAGAUAUCACGAAGAACUCCGAUUGCGAAGGCAGUUCACUGGACUGUAACUGACACUGAGGCUCGAAAGUGUGGGUAUCAAACAGGAUUAGAUACCCUUGUAGUC